Molecule: ribosomal RNA, 386 nt
Filed under: uncultured bacterium
Lineage: Bacteria
Description: bacterial SSU rRNA
Rfam family: Bacterial small subunit ribosomal RNA
Source: RNAcentral
GACGAACGCUGGCGGCGUGCUUAACACAUGCAAGUCGAGCGGUAAGGCCCUUUGGGGUACACGAGCGGCGAACGGGUGAGUAACACGUGAGUGACCUGCCCUCAGCUCUGGGAUAAGCCUGGGAAACCGGGUCUAAUACUGGAUAUGACUCCAUGACGCAUGUUGUGGGGUGGAAAGCCUUGUGCGGCUGAGGAUGGGCCCGCGGCCUAUCAGCUUGUUGGUGGGGUGAUGGCCUACCAAGGCGACGACGGGUAGCCGGCCUGAGAGGGCGACCGGCCACACUGGGACUGAGACACGGCCCAGACUCCUACGGGAGGCAGCAGUGGGGAAUCUUGCGCAAUGGGCGAAAGCCUGACGCAGCGACGCCGCGUGAGGGAUGACGGCCU